Molecule: non-coding RNA, 629 nt
Organism: Gopherus evgoodei (Goodes thornscrub tortoise)
Lineage: Eukaryota; Metazoa; Chordata; Testudines; Testudinidae
Source: the annotation of a RefSeq genome assembly
UUUCCUGUUUAAAUCUGCCCCUCUCUGUCCAGACUGCACUUAAGAGACACAGUCCGCAGCCACCCGUGUCUGUGCAGUGACCAGCCAGUCCCUGAGAACGUUCCCCUCCAGCCCCCGGGGAAAUGAGGCUCUGGUUGUACCUCGUUCUCACUGCAGCAUGUCUGGAAGGUGUCCGGUCGCAGGUCCAGCUGGUGGAGUCCGGAGGGGAUGUGAAAAAGCCCGGAGACUCUCUCCGCCUCUCCUGCAAAGCCUCCGGCUUCACCUUCAGCAGCGCCUACAUGAGCUGGGUCCGCCAGGCUCCCGGGAAGGGGCUGGAGUGGGUCGCCCGGAUCAGCAGCGGCAGUGGGAGCAGCACAUACUACGCUGAUGCAGUCAAAGGCCGAUUCACCAUCUCCAGGGACAACCCCAACAACCUGCUGUAUCUGCAAAUGACCGGCCUGAAGCCCGAGGACACCGCCCGGUAUCACUGUGCCAGAGAUGGGUGGCGUGUCCGGUCCCAGGGGUUGGCGGAGUCUGGAGGGGAUGUGAAAAAGCCCGGAGACUCUCUCUCCCUCUCUUGCAAAGCUUCCAGGUUCACCUUCAGCAGCUACUGGAUGCGCUGGGUCCAUCAGGGUCCCGGGAGGGACUAG